Molecule: non-coding RNA, 375 nt
Organism: Melospiza melodia melodia
Lineage: Eukaryota; Metazoa; Chordata; Aves; Passeriformes; Passerellidae
Source: the annotation of a RefSeq genome assembly
GAGUGCGGGGGGGACCUCCAGCCCCCCGGGGGGUCCCUGCGCCUCCUCUGCCGAGGGGCCGGGUUCGAUUUUGGGAAUUAUGGAAUGAUCUGGAUCCGCCAGAGACCCGGGCAGGCGUCAGAAUUCGUCUCUGGGAUCAAUCCUGAUGGUGUCAACACCUACUACGCGCCGUCGGUCAAGGAUCGCGUCACGAUCUCCCGGGACAACGGGCAGAGCUCGGUGACGCUGACCAUGAACAACCUCAAGGACGAGGAUUCCGGAUCCUAUUUCUGUGCCAAGCGUAUUUCUGGUGGUAAUGCUGACACUCUCCCAGAGAGGAUUGCAGCCCAGCCCCGAGGAGCAGCCCCAGACACCGCGGCCGUGAGGGAGCAGUGA